This is a non-coding RNA of Caretta caretta (loggerhead turtle), 982 nucleotides long. NCBI's taxonomy places the organism in Eukaryota, Metazoa, Chordata, Testudines, Cheloniidae. The record is from RefSeq and is a predicted model, not a curated record.
ACCUCGAGACUAAAUUGCUGCCCCUGGUUAAGGGGGGUGUGUGUGGAUGCCACCUCACUGCCUUUGAGCAGGCUGGCGAUUUGAACCAAGGGGACCCUGCGGAAAAGCCCCGGUGUCUAGCUCCCUUGCUGGGUCCCAAGGCCACAGACUCCAUCAGCCAGAUGGUUGGGGAUGUGGACAGGCUCCCACUCCUGACCCCAACCUAUAUGUCUGUGUGGAGUUUCCUGGGGCCAGGCCCCCCGGACCUCCAGUGGGAGCAGAAGGUGAUGGUCAAUGGGGAGACAUUCUUGGGGUGGCCAAAGGGCAUGGGCUGCAUAAACCUUCCCACAUGCGGCCUGCGAGUGCUAUCGACCACCCCUGACCUAAGGGAGGGCGUGAAACUGGAAGGGCCUGGUGUAACUCCUACCAAGGAAUGGGAGAGAUGCUGGGGCAUCCAUGGGAACGUUGGUGGCUUCGAACUUCCCCAGGUCACCGGCUAAAGUGACCCCGCUCAGUUCGAUCUCGAAGGGGGGAGAGAUGUGACGAAGUGGGACUGUUCUUAAUGUUUCCUCUGAAUAGUGUGGGGGUGCCUCAGUUUCCCCUAGGCAGUUCUUAAGUAUCUAGGGGGUGGAGUAAGGGUGUAUGAUCAUUGCAGAGCCCUAGAGGGCAUGUGUGUGCAGGAGUCUGGACACAGAGAAUGGCCGACACCCUGUUUCCUGGCAACUGAUGGCCUGGGCCCUUCCCCCCCUGCAAGGUGAGAGCUGAAGGGUUGGAGAACAAAGGAAUCCGGUGACCACCUGGCCCGGGAAAGGGACAAAGCCCAGAGGAGGAGGGGCUGGAGGGGGUUUUCAGUUUGGGGCUGGCUGGGACAUGGAGUGAAGUGCAGACGUGGUUGUCUGGCUCACUGCCCCCCAAAAUGGACCCAGCUGAGGGGUCCCGUUCUCUGCACCUGCAAGCUCUGUGUUAGACCAUCUUCCUGUCGUCUAAUAAACCUUCUGUUUUA